This 28-nucleotide non-coding RNA is filed under the name Bombyx mori (domestic silkworm). The record is from RNAcentral. Lineage: Eukaryota; Metazoa; Arthropoda; Insecta; Lepidoptera; Bombycidae.
UGAGUUCUGGAUCUGGAGCGUAUGUGGC